This 889-nucleotide ribosomal RNA is filed under the name Vibrio harveyi. RNAcentral's name for it is "bacterial SSU rRNA". It matches the Rfam family "Bacterial small subunit ribosomal RNA", at positions 199 to 1082 of the family's 1533-position model. Lineage: Bacteria; Pseudomonadati; Pseudomonadota; Gammaproteobacteria; Vibrionales; Vibrionaceae. The record is from RNAcentral.
GACCUUCGGGCCUCUCGCGUCAGGAUAUGCCUAGGUGGGAUUAGCUAGUUGGUGAGGUAAGGGCUCACCAAGGCGACGAUCCCUAGCUGGUCUGAGAGGAUGAUCAGCCACACUGGAACUGAGACACGGUCCAGACUCCUACGGGAGGCAGCAGUGGGGAAUAUUGCACAAUGGGCGCAAGCCUGAUGCAGCCAUGCCGCGUGUGUGAAGAAGGCCUUCGGGUUGUAAAGCACUUUCAGUCGUGAGGAAGGUAGUGUAGUUAAUAGCUGCAUUAUUUGACGUUAGCGACAGAAGAAGCACCGGCUAACUCCGUGCCAGCAGCCGCGGUAAUACGGAGGGUGCGAGCGUUAAUCGGAAUUACUGGGCGUAAAGCGCAUGCAGGUGGUUUGUUAAGUCAGAUGUGAAAGCCCGGGGCUCAACCUCGGAAUUGCAUUUGAAACUGGCAGACUAGAGUACUGUAGAGGGGGGUAGAAUUUCAGGUGUAGCGGUGAAAUGCGUAGAGAUCUGAAGGAAUACCGGUGGCGAAGGCGGCCCCCUGGACAGAUACUGACACUCAGAUGCGAAAGCGUGGGGAGCAAACAGGAUUAGAUACCCUGGUAGUCCACGCCGUAAACGAUGUCUACUUGGAGGUUGUGGCCUUGAGCCGUGGCUUUCGGAGCUAACGCGUUAAGUAGACCGCCUGGGGAGUACGGUCGCAAGAUUAAAACUCAAAUGAAUUGACGGGGGCCCGCACAAGCGGUGGAGCAUGUGGUUUAAUUCGAUGCAACGCGAAGAACCUUACCUACUCUUGACAUCCAGAGAACUUUCCAGAGAUGGAUUGGUGCCUUCGGGAACUCUGAGACAGGUGCUGCAUGGCUGUCGUCAGCUCGUGUUGUGAAAUGUUGGGUAA